CUAACACAUGCAAGUCGAGCGGUAACACAGAGAGCUUGCUCUCGGGUGACGAGCGGCGGACGGGUGAGUAAUGUCUGGGAAACUGCCUGAUGGAGGGGGAUAACUACUGGAAACGGUAGCUAAUACCGCAUAACGUCGCAAGACCAAAGUGGGGGACCUUCGGGCCUCAUGCCAUCAGAUGUGCCCAGAUGGGAUUAGCUAGUAGGUGGGGUAAUGGCUCACCUAGGCGACGAUCCCUAGCUGGUCUGAGAGGAUGACCAGCCACACUGGAACUGAGACACGGUCCAGACUCCUACGGGAGGCAGCAGUGGGGAAUAUUGCACAAUGGGCGCAAGCCUGAUGCAGCCAUGCCGCGUGUAUGAAGAAGGCCUUCGGGUUGUAAAGUACUUUCAGCGAGGAGGAAGGCAUUAAGGUUAAUAACCUUGGUGAUUGACGUUACUCGCAGAAGAAGCACCGGCUAACUCCGUGCCAGCAGCCGCGGUAAUACGGAGGGUGCAAGCGUUAAUCGGAAUUACUGGGCGUAAAGCGCACGCAGGCGGUCUGUCAAGUCGGAUGUGAAAUCCCCGGGCUCAACCUGGGAACUGCAUUCGAAACUGGCAGGCUAGAGUCUUGUAGAGGGGGGUAGAAUUCCAGGUGUAGCGGUGAAAUGCGUAGAGAUCUGGAGGAAUACCGGUGGCGAAGGCGGCCCCCUGGACAAAGACUGACGCUCAGGUGCGAAAGCGUGGGGAGCAAACAGGAUUAGAUACCCUGGUAGUCCACGCCGUAAACGAUGUCGACUUGGAGGUUGUGCCCUUGAGGCGUGGCUUCCGGAGCUAACGCGUUAAGUCGACCGCCUGGGGAGUACGGCCGCAAGGUUAAAACUCAAAUGAAUUGACGGGGGCCCGCACAAGCGGUGGAGCAUGUGGUUUAAUUCGAUGCAACGCGAAGAACCUUACCUACUCUUGACAUCCAGAGAACUUAGCAGAGAUGCUUUGGUGCCUUCGGGAACUCUGAGACAGGUGCUGCAUGGCUGUCGUCAGCUCGUGUUGUGAAAUGUUGGGUUAAGUCCCGCAACGAGCGCAACCCUUAUCCUUUGUUGCC
This 1080-nucleotide ribosomal RNA is filed under the name Klebsiella sp. ME68. RNAcentral's name for it is "bacterial SSU rRNA". It matches the Rfam family "Bacterial small subunit ribosomal RNA", at positions 48 to 1119 of the family's 1533-position model. Lineage: Bacteria; Pseudomonadati; Pseudomonadota; Gammaproteobacteria; Enterobacterales; Enterobacteriaceae. The record is from RNAcentral.